AAUUUCUGCAAAUUAGCUCGGACAAAUAAUUUCACAAUUUCAUUUGAGGCGUCGAAUUGAACGGUCGACCUGGAAAAAGCACCAAGCAGAGAAGUGCAACACCGAACAAUAGUUCCCCCUUCAACCACCGGACGCCACACUCUGGCGGACGAGUCACAAACAUUCACAAACGCAGAUAUAAAAACAAGUGGAACAUUGGCUAAGGGUGUCAUUACAAAUUCACCGUUGGAAGAGUCGAUGCAAAAAAAUAAUUGACAUAGAAAAAAACAAAAAAAAAAACUGGAUGCAGACUGUGAAGGAUAGUGAAAAUAUAGAAAAACUAUUUGGUGUUUUUAAGUUUUGUGAAAAUUUUUGUUAGACUUGUAUAUCGGUUCGGUUAAGCAUUUUGUGUGGAUUUUCUUAGCUGCGUUGAAGUAUUUAAAUUUGUGUGUUUUCUACCAGUUUUCCUAAUUUCUACGUCAAAUGUAUAAGGAAAUAAAUCUUUAACUCAACUAACCGCAGCAAGCGUAAAUUAUCUUAAAUGUUGAAACGCAAACGUUAUAAAAAACAUAAAAAGUAUUAAAAGUUAAGUUCGAAAAAAAUAAAAAAAAAUAAAAAAAGUGAAUAUUUAAACAAUUUGUUGUGGAAACUUUUGCCAUGAACCUCAUACCAAAUAUGAGCGAUAAAAUGUUUAUAUUGAUUUUAUUUUAUUAUAACGGUUCAUAUAAUUGGAAUAAAAAGGUUUAAGAAACUUACAGAAAAAGUGUAGAACAUUCAGUAGAAACGCAGAGAAGCCGCAGGAGAAGGAUACAAGUGUAGCAGUGCGCGGCAGAGACGUUGGCAAGGACAAUUAUUUUAACCAGAGAAAGACGUGUGAAAAGUGUAUUAUUUUUAACAUUAACGAUAUAAUUUCACUUAGUUUUUUCCCCAAAAUAAGAAUUAUAAGCAAAAAGAAAUUUGCAAAUAUUAAUAUUUUUCGAGUGUUCGUAUUUGAGAAAAGCCUUCAAAGGAAAGCCAUUUGCUUGCGACACAACUUUCAACUUUAGAGCCUAAACUAAAAAAAAAUAGCAACGGAGCAACAAUAAAACAACAAAUCGCUAUUUCACAACGCUUGGACCAAAAUACUCGAAGAUACCGAAGAGAGGAUUGCGUAUCAAAACAAACACGCGCACUAAAAACAGCAGAUAAAACGGAAGUAAAUAGCGAUUGCAGAUAAUAAACAUUUGAAAGCGUUAAUAAAAAAAACGAAAAAGAAAACGUUAAACAAUAAACAAUUAAAACAAAUA
RNA transcript from Rhagoletis zephyria (snowberry fruit fly), 1265 nucleotides. RefSeq lists it as uncharacterized. The record is from RefSeq and is a predicted model, not a curated record. NCBI's taxonomy places the organism in Eukaryota, Metazoa, Arthropoda, Insecta, Diptera, Tephritidae.